Acinonyx jubatus (cheetah) is the source of this 3624-nucleotide RNA transcript. It is a transcript of the gene named kelch like family member 6, with no coding region annotated. The transcript has 9 exons. The record is from RefSeq and is a predicted model, not a curated record. Lineage: Eukaryota; Metazoa; Chordata; Mammalia; Carnivora; Felidae.
GAGAAAGUACGAGACUUCCUGUUGUGCGUGUGACAGCUGGUGAUAAGUGGAGGGCUCUGCACAGGAAAUCCGCUCAACUUCUGCAAUGUGACCUGCCUGAAACUUGGGCGCUCCUUCAGUCUGGAUGUUGAUGGCAGGACAGGGGGGCGCCUGGACCAUGGGCGACGUGGUAGAGAAGAGUUUGGAAGGGCCGCUGGCACCUUCUACGGAUGAGGCCUCCCAGAAAAGAGGAGACCUGGUAGAAAUCUUAAAUGGGGAUAAGGUAAAAUUCGAUGACACGGGACUCUCCUUAAUUCUGCAGAAUGGCCUGGACACCCUCCGCGUGGAAAAUGCUCUGACAGAUGUCAUCUUGUGUGUGGACAUUCAGGAAUUCUCCUGCCACCGCGUGGUGCUUGCCGCGGCCAGCAACUAUUUCAGGGCCAUGUUCUGCAAUGAUUUAAAAGAAAAGUAUGAGAAGAGGAUCAUUAUCAAAGGGGUCGAUGCUGAGACCAUGCACACUCUUCUGGACUACACAUACACCAGCAAGGCGCUGAUCACCAAGCAGAAUGUGCAACGGGUCCUGGAAGCUGCUAACCUUUUCCAGUUCCUGCGGAUGGUGGAUGCCUGUGCUAGCUUCCUAACAGAAGCCUUGAAUCCAGAAAACUGUGUUGGAAUACUGAGGCUGGCAGAUACACACUCCUUGGACAGCCUGAAAAAGCAGGUGCAAAAUUACAUCAUCCAAAACUUUGUGCAGAUUCUGAACUCUGAGGAGUUCCUAGAACUUCCCGUGGACACUCUGUACCACAUCUUGAAGAGUGAUGAGCUGUAUGUAACAGAGGAGGCUCAGGUGUUUGAGACUGUGAUGAGUUGGGUCCGGCACAAACAGGCAGAACGACUCUGCUUGCUCCCCUACCUCCUUGAGAAUGUGCGCUUGCCACUGCUGGACCCGUGGUACUUUGUGGAGACGGUGGAGGCAGAUCCUCUCAUCAGACAGUGCCCGGAGGUCUUCCCGCUGCUUCAGGAAGCCAGGAUGUACCACCUUUCAGGCAAUGAGAUCAUUUCCGAGCGCACCAAGCCCAGGAUGCAUGAGUUUCAGUCUGAGGUAUUCAUGAUCAUUGGUGGCUGCACAAAGGAUGAACGGUUUGUGGCGGAGGUAACCUGCCUGGACCCCCUGAGGCGCAGCCGCCUGGAGGUGGCCAAGCUCCCCAUGACGGAGCAUGAGCUGGAGAGUGAGAACAAGAAGUGGGUGGAGUUUGCAUGCGUGACAUUGAAAAAUGAGGUCUACAUCUCAGGUGGCAAAGAGACACAGCAUGAUGUUUGGAAAUAUAAUUCUUCAAUCAACAAAUGGAUUCAAAUUGAGUAUUUGAACAUAGGCCGCUGGAGGCAUAAAAUGGUGGUAUUAGGUGGCAAGGUCUAUGUGAUUGGAGGUUUUGAUGGCUUACAGAGGAUCAACAAUGUGGAGACCUAUGAUCCCUUCCAUAACUGCUGGUCAGAGGCAGCACCCCUUCUUGUCCACGUCAGUUCCUUCGCAGCUACCAGCCAUAAGAAGAAACUCUAUGUGAUUGGGGGCGGGCCCAAUGGGAAACUGGCCACAGACAAGACUCAGUGUUAUGACCCUUCAACCAAUAAAUGGAAUUUAAAGUCGUCCAUGCCGGUGGAGGCCAAAUGCAUCAAUGCUGUCAGUUUCCGGGACCGCAUCUAUGUUGUUGGAGGGGCUAUGAGAGCGCUGUACGCCUACAGUCCUCUGGAAGACAGCUGGUGCCUGGUGACCCAGCUCAGCCACGAGAGGGCCAGCUGCGGCAUCGCGCCCUGCAACAACCGACUCUACAUCACUGGGGGGCGGGACGAGAAGAACGAGGUCAUCGCCACGGUGCUGUGCUGGGACCCCGAGGCCCAGAAACUGACGGAGGAGUGUGUCCUGCCCCGGGGGGUGUCGCACCACGGCAGUGUCACCAUCAGGAAAUCUUACACCCACAUCCGGAGGAUCGUGCCCGGAGCCGUGUCGGUGUGACUGCGGGAGGGCGGAGCCACGGGGGCGCGGGGCGAGGUGCCAGGAGACCUCCCUCCUCACCUGUUGCCCGGGUUCGUCCCACUUCAGACAGCAGGCUGGGCUGGAGCUACAGGACACACACCUGGGUUCCCCGCGGCUCCGCAUGGGAGCUCCUUUCGGAAGUCACAGCUUUGGGACACCAGCCAGGAAUGUUUGUGCGAUCUACCUCAGGAGGGAAGAAGAGUAAUAUGUAACAUUCAGGACAGACCUGUCCCCUGCCAGGUUCUGUGCCAAGCACUUUUGUGUAUCAAUUUGUUUAACCACCAUACAGACCUGGUCACCGGACAUUAUCACUUCUGUUUUACAGGUGAGGAAACUGAGUUUCAGAGAGGCGAAGUACUUUGUCCCUGGUCACCCAGAUUAUAAGUAGCUAAGCCAAGAGGCUAACUCCAGGUCUUUUCAAUUUCAAGCUAUCCCAGCACCAAAGCAUCUCUAAGGGUCUCCUGAUUUCUGAAGUUUGGACAAAGAACAAAAGAAGAUAUGAGACUUCCUGGCUACAUAUUCUUUGAGACGGUUUAUGGGGACCCUCCAUUUGGACUGCCAUUGGGAUCACCCAGUUCCAGCUGACGGGCCAUCUGAACCUGACUGAGGUGCCAGUUUUCUGUCAUUUAGGAUUGAAUCCAACUGGUUGUUUUCAAUACUUCAAGGUAGAAGACACUCUUACUUUAUUAUUCUCCUUUGUGCCUAGUAUAAAUGUUACGGAACCAGGCUGGAAUGCUGGUGGAAAAACCAAGCGGCACUCAGAGAUCUUGGUGUAUCAGAGAUUUAUUUAACACCAGCGGGCUCAGAGGAGACUGUUUCUCCAAAGAUCUGAGCGCCGAAUGCAAGUGGGGAGGGUAAUUUACAGUUGUCAGCUUCCAUAAGUGUGGGGGUUUUCGUGAGCGCAGCAAACCAAGGAAGAACCCGGAGGAGUGGUCUCUAAGCUAGAGACCAGAGCUUGUUUUAGUCCCGUUGGCCAUCUUUGGCGCAGUAUUUUAUUCAUUUCUCUGACAUAAGUACUUACAUAGAAAGUACUCAAAUACUAACAGGAUGAAUCGAAAUACUGGAAAUUGUUGUAGUUUAGUGUAAAUUAAAAUGCAGACCUCGAUCACCUUAAUUACAACUUCAAUGGGUAUGGUUGGUUUUGCAUAUAUUUUAGGAUCAGAAAGUAGACUCAACAAGGAAAUGAGUUACCAGCAGGGGUGAGGCAAUAAAGGAGAGGUGACUGUAGUAAACCAGCUUAGUCCAGAAAAUAUUAAAGGGAACUCGUUUGUGAAGAAAUAUGUUUUGAAUAGUUGUGAAGCAUAGCUCCCAGACUUGGGGUGGGGUCUACCACCUGCUUCUUAAUAUUCCUUUACUCUCCUAUUCUCUUUUUCAUCCUUCUGAUCACUCCCCACCUAUUAAAAAAGAGGAUAUAGGGGCACCUGGGUGGCUCAGUCAGUUGCGGUUAACCGUCUGACUCUUGAUUUUGGCUCAGGUCAUGAUUUCACGGUUUGUGGGUUCGAGACACACAUCGGGCUCUGCACUGGCAGCAUGGAGCCUGCUCGGGAUUCUCUCUCUCACUCUCUUUCAGCCCCUCCUCUGCUCUCUCUCAAAAUAAAUAAAUAAAAUUUUUU